GACGAACGCUGGCGGCGUGCUUAACACAUGCAAGUCGAACGGAAAGGCCCUGCUUUUGUGGGGUGCUCGAGAGGCGAACGGGUGAGUAACACGUGAGUAACCUGCCCUUGACUUUGGGAUAACUUCGGGAAACUGGGGCUAAUACCGGAUAGGAGCUCCUGCUGCAUGGUGGGGGUUGGAAAGUUUCGGCGGUUGGGGAUGGACUCGCGGCUUAUCAGCUUGUUGGUGGGGUAGUGGCUUACCAAGGCUUUGACGGGUAGCCGGCCUGAGAGGGUGACCGGCCACAUUGGGACUGAGAUACGGCCCAGACUCCUACGGGAGGCAGCAGUGGGGAAUAUUGCACAAUGGGCGGAAGCCUGAUGCAGCAACGCCGCGUGCGGGAUGACGGCCUUCGGGUUGUAAACCGCUUUCGCCUGUGACGAAGCGUGAGUGACGGUAAUGGGUAAAGAAGCACCGGCUAACUACGUG
Molecule: ribosomal RNA, 468 nt
Filed under: uncultured bacterium
Lineage: Bacteria
Description: partial 16S ribosomal RNA
Rfam family: Bacterial small subunit ribosomal RNA
Source: RNAcentral